RNAcentral lists this long non-coding RNA (223 nucleotides) under Gossypium barbadense (sea-island cotton). RNAcentral's name for it is "long non-coding RNA (GBAR_LNC011632)". Lineage: Eukaryota; Viridiplantae; Streptophyta; Magnoliopsida; Malvales; Malvaceae. The record is from RNAcentral.
CGUGUUGCGCUUUGGACCUUCUUUUAAUUUCAAUGGUUUAUUUUUUUAAGUAUCCCUUUUAGUUUAAUUUUAUUUUAAUUGAGUCUUUUUAAUCGGUAUAAUUUACUUUCUAGUCCACUUAACAUUCAUUUUUUUAAAAUUUUUUUUAUAUAUAUACAUUUUAAAUUAUUUUGAUAAUUUUACUUUGUUUUGUUAUUUUUGUCUAAAGUAUAUAAUCGUUAUU